Molecule: transfer RNA, 71 nt
Filed under: bacterium
Lineage: Bacteria
Description: tRNA-Pro
Rfam family: tRNA
About the family: Transfer RNA (tRNA) molecules are approximately 80 nucleotides in length.
Source: RNAcentral
CGGGCUGUAGUGUAGUGGUAGCACGAGUCCUUCGGGAGGAUUUAGCCCCGGUUCAAGUCCGGGCAGCCCGA